This is an RNA transcript of Pan troglodytes (chimpanzee), 10611 nucleotides long. It is a transcript of the gene named putative coiled-coil domain-containing protein 144 N-terminal-like, with no coding region annotated. Lineage: Eukaryota; Metazoa; Chordata; Mammalia; Primates; Hominidae. The record is from RefSeq and is a predicted model, not a curated record. The transcript has 3 exons.
AGCUCGCUACUGAUGGCCUCCUGGGGUGGAGAAAAGCGGGGAGGGGCUGAGGGGUCUCCGAAGCCGGCAGUCUACGCCACGAGGAAGACCCCUAGCGUCGGGAGCCAGGAGGACCAGUGGUACUUGGGCUACCCGGGGGACCAGUGGUCCUCGGGCUUCUCCUACAGCUGGUGGAAAAACAGCGUCGGCAGCGAGAGCAAGCACGGUGAGGGCGCCUUAGACCAGCCCCAACACGACGUCCACCUGGAAGAUCUUGGCGAGCUCCACAGAGCUGCCCGGUCGGGCGACGUCCCUGGGGUGGAGCACGUCUUGGCUCCUGGAGACACUGGCGUGGACAAGAGGGAUAGGAAGAAGAGCAUUCAGCAACUAGUUCCUGAAUAUAAGGAAAAACAGACACCUGAAAGUCUUCCUCAAAAUAACAAUCCAGCUGCUCCAAGCCAGGCUGAAGGAGGAGAAGGAGGAGUCGCCUGUGGUACGGUGGAGCAGAUGACGUGGCUCUGCAGCUUGCCUCACGCAGUUGGUGGUGGAGAUGGAGACCGCAGCUCGACUGGAGCGGUAGGAGGGCACCCACGGGGGCCUGGAGGUAGGAGUCUGGUAGGGUGGGCUGGUACGUUGAGGGUGACUGGUUGUAUUGGCAUUGGUGCUAGUGGUGGUAGCAGUAGGAAGUCUGGGGGCCGGGAAGGGGGAGUAGGAGCACUGCAGGGCCCAUCCCGUCUGGGGUGGGGAGGAACCUGUGGGUGCUGUAACGAAGGCCUCGGUGGCAGUGGUGGUGGUACACCUAGGACAAAGAGGAGUCCUCCCCCUUCUCCUGCAAUCUGUGGAGUGUGCCCUCCUCCUGCUGGUGCCUGAGCUAGGCGUGAGUGGCAGCAUUAUCUCAUUCUUAACAAAAUUUAGGGGGUGACUAUUUAUGUAUCUUUUUGCUUGUUUUUUGUUGUGAUACUCUUGGAGUUACUCAAAUUUUAUGAAUCGAGCAGGGGAUAAAAAGUGUCAUAUGAUAGGCCUUCUAAUUCCCACACCUGUUCUUUUUCCUUUCUUCCAUUGUGUAUUUUCUUCUCAUUUUCUUGUUCCUCUUCAUUUUCUUUUGCUACUGCUUCUAUUUCAUGUUUGUAUUCUUGUUUCUCCUCCUGUUUUUGUAUUUUUAUGCCAAGCGAUGGCCUUAACAAACCAAAACUGAGUUAAAAAUAAAAUACUUGUCACUGUUGUGUUUUUUAAUAACUGAUCCCUUACUAUGUUUUAGAGAUGAGGGAAAAAAAAUCAGUUGUAUAAUUAGUUACUUGAAUAGCCAUGUUUUCAUAAUUGUGUUAACCCACUUAUGCCUAGUGUUCCAUACUAAGCAUGUGGAAAUUACUUAUAUCUUACUGUUAAAUGUCAUCGGCAAGGUCUGAUUUUUCACUUACGCAAAAAUUCAAAAAAUUGCAACCUCUGGCAUAAAUGGACUAAUGUGUUAUUCAAGGAAUCAAAAAAUGAAGCAUCACAAAAUAUUGGUAGCAAACAGCCAUUUCAUCUCUCUCACAUAUUUUUUUCUGGAGCUAUGCAAGAGUCACAGGGGUAAUAAGUUCUAAUUUAUGAGAUGAUUAAGUGAACCAUAUUCCCUUCAUUUUUUUUUCUGCCACCAUUUUCAAGAAUAUUGUCAUCUGCAUGAGCAAAGGGUUCAUCACCACAUCUUUGCAAGAGGAAAAAGAAGGGGGAAGAAUCAUGUGUCUAAUCUUGUAAGGCAAACAUUCACAACCAAAAACAAGGUUUUAUUAACUUUUUUGCCUUUAAGAACCUGCAGUGUUUAGCCCUCUUUGAUUCCUAGUAUUAUUACCUUUGGUAUGAACUCUUUUAUUAAACUGAUCACUCUAGAGGUUUAUGCAUUUUGAAUCAUUUUUCAAGCCAACAGAAAUGUGUAAUGCCUAUAAUUCUGACACUUUAGUUAUUUUUAAGGCUAUGAGCAUGUAAGAUACUGUUGGAAGAAUAUGUAUAAAUACCACUAGGUAGCUUAUUUUGAAGAGAUAGUAUCUAAAUUUUUGUCCAGAGUAGAUUGGUUGCAGUUUCUUAGGUGUGUUUCUUAAUACGUUGCCUCAAUGUUUUAAAGCAUGUAGAAAUUUGAAUACAGUUUAACUUCAUAUAGUCCUUUGUUUAUAGAUUUAAUAUUUCUAAAGACUAAAGACAUCACAGCUCCCUUUAAGAUUCAGUAAUAUUAAUAAAAUUUUAGAAAUAUAGGGUUAGAAUCCAACAAAUUCAGAGGAAAAUUGUUCAAUUAUAUAGCUGUAGAGCAGGAAUGAAACCCAGGUUCUAAGCUCUAAGGGGGCCAUGAGGUACCAUACAGGUGCAUCAGUGACUGGGCAUAGAUUCAGCAAAAUUACAGGAUGGUUAAGAGAGUGAGCUGUGGAGCCAAACUCUAUGUAACAUGAAUUUUUAAACUGCCUGGUGCCUCAGUUUAUCCGUCUUUACAGUGGGGACUGUAGUAAGUUUUUCUUUUUCUGCUCAGUUGUCUGUCUUGUUGCCACUGUUUCCUAGUCUGUCUUGUUGCCACUCAGUGCCCACAUGAGAGGAUCUAAGGUAAUUUCUGACAGCCUGGGACUCCUUAAAGAAAAACAGAAGGUGCUACAAAACCCAUUUUAGGAGAAACCUCUGUUGUCCUCAUGGAACCCCAAGAACUUCAGGCAGACAGGUCUCUCUCAAAAUCUAAGGCUCUCCUCUGUUUUGUUUUGCGUUAUCUGACCUUUUAGGUUUGGGUGGGCAUCAGAAAUCAGUCGGGGAGAGAGAUCUAAAGAAAGUUGUGGAUAUGAAGAUGUAUUUAUGGUAAGAAAAGUUAUGAAGGAAAGAAAUGUUAUAUGAGAGAGGAUCUUGUAUGGCAAAUUCUUGUCCUAAAGUAGAAUGACUAAUUAUGAAAGAGGGAAAUACAGGAAAAGUCAGAAAGUUCAUGUCAUAGAUGGUCUGUGGAAGUUGUGCUAGGGUUCAUAAAAUGAGAAAGAAAAACUUACAACUGCUAGAUCUUUUCCUGUCUAGAAGUGUUGUGUAUGUGAUGGAUAUGUAAAGGAGCCCUAAUUACUUGGCUUAGAAGAAAAGGAAGGCUCUUAAAUAUUUUGUCAGAAAAAUAGAAUCUCCAAUGCCUUUUAUUUCACAUGACUUCAGUAAUCUUUGGGAAAUAAAAACAAUGUUAAAAUCGUUGGUAAAAAAAAUCAUCAAAAUUUAUCCAUUUUGUCUAAUUUAAGUCAGAGGUUAAAUUUUAGAAGUGCUUUAACGUCAUAAAUUGAUUGACUUUGGAAAAUUGUUCUGUUUACCUGGUUUGGAGCUGUUCAACUUCUAGGUAAGGCCUGGGGGACAGGUGGAGUUAGCCAUGUCUCCUAGCUAUGCUGGAAAGAGUCAGACUUUACCUACAGUUCUGUCUUGUAUCCUAUACACUGCACCUGGUACGUUAUUAAAACUUCCUGCUGCUUCUAAUCUCUGAGUUCCACUUAAAAUUUUUCCAUCACUUGAAUACUAUCCUCUGUACUAAAUUUUUCCGCAAUUAAAUACUUAGAAUCAUUUUUGCCCACUUGACCGAAGCAUUAGUGAUAUAUCUUUAAAAUACUUAUAAUGUGUCACAAUAUAUUUAGCAAAUGUAGCGAAUGGCAUUUUUACUUUUGUCAGCAUUUACAUAGCAUUUAUGUAGCAAUGCUAUCUCAAGUAUUUUUAGUCAUUUGAAUGUUACAUAAUAUGCUUUUCCUUUGUUUCUAUGUAAAUAAAUAGGAGAUAUUCAAUAAAUAGUAUCAAUUAAUGUUUCACUUCUAGAAUAUACUUAUUAGGAUUAUUUUUAAACACUACAUCAUAUUUACUUGUUGGCUUUAUAAUUUAGAAAUAAUAUUUUGGAUUAACUGUGUGACUCAUAAGAGGGAGUUUGUGCAAUUACAAUCUUUACAAAUUUUUACUUGAUUUUCAAGACUUACACUACAACUGUUAGAACAAGGUAAUAAAUAAGCAUAUCUAUUAAUAUCAACUCUUGGCUCGACCCAAUGAUAGUGUAGGAAUUAACAUAAUUUUUCCUACUAAAGGUAUUGGAUUUGUUUUGAGAGACCGCAGUUUAAAAUCAUUGACAUAGAAAGUUUAAAAAUUGUUAAAUUUUUUAAAUGCCUUUGAAAUUGUAUUAUAGAAAAAUAAAUAUCCUAGUUUAGAUUGGUAGGUUUUUUUUUUAAAUAAGGACUAGACCAAGAGAAAGGGAGAGUAGUGAUAAAUGUCCAGGUUUUUAAGUUGAAAAGUGAAAAUCAGUGUAUUACAAUGGAUGGAUUUGAUGUCAAAUUACAGAUGCUGAAAACAUUGUAUGUAAUCUACUAGCCAGGGUAAUUAUACAAGGCAAAGAAAUAAAAGGCAUCCAAAUAGGAAAGGAAGGGGUGAGAUUGUCUCUGUUUUCUGAAAAUGUAAUCCUAAUGUAAAGAAAAUCUUAGACUCCACCAAAAAAACCUGUUAAAGCUGAUAAACACAUUCAAUAAAGUUGAGAGUUACAAAAUUAACAUACAAAUAGUAUUCUUGUUUCUAAACACCCAUGACAAACUAUCUGAAAAAUAAAUUAAUAAAGUAAUUACAUUUAUAGUAGCAUCAAAACAAAUAUAUAAGUAAAUAAAAUACUAAGGAGUAAUUUUAAUGAAGGGUGUGAAAGAUGUGUAUACUGAAAAUUAUAGCACAUUGAUGAAAGAAUUUGGAAGUGACAAAUAGAAAAAUAUCCUAUAUUUAUGAGUUCAAAAAAUAAUAUUGUCAAAAUCUCAAUGCUACCCCAAACAAUCUACAGAUCUGAUAUUUGAUAAAGCAAACAAAACAUAAAGUGGGGAAAGGACACUCUUCAAUAUAUGGUGCUGAGAUAAUUGGCAGGCAACAUGCAGAAAAAUGAAACAGUUCUUCAAAAGGUUAAGUAUAGAAUUACACGUGACUCAGUAAUUCACUCCUAUGUGUACACUAAAAAAAUUAAAACAAACGUCUACACAAAAAGUAGCAUACAAGUAUUUAUAGCAACAAAAAGUAGGAAACAACAGAAAUGUUCAUCAAUUGAGGAGUAGAGUAAUGAAAUGUGGCCUGUCCAUAAAAUAUAAUAUUACUUGGCAAUGAAAAAGAAAAAGGUAUUAAUACAUGCUCCAAAAAGGAUAAACAUUGAAAACAUGGUAAGUGAAAGUAGUGAGUCGCACGUAACUAUAUAUUAUUAUGAUUCCGCUUACAUGAAAUGUCCAGGAUGGGCAAAUCCUUCCAGAAUAGGCAAAUCCUUAGGAAGUAGAUGGAUGGUUGCCUAAGGCUGGGAGAGGUUUUAAGAAAGAGUGGGGAAAAUGAGGAAAGAUUGCUAAUGGGUGCAAGAUUUCUUUUAAGGAGCAUAAAAAUGUUCUAAAAUUAUAUUGUGGUGAUUGCAUAUUCACCCAGUUAAUGCACUAAAAAACUGAAUUUUAUACUUUAUAUGAGUGAAUUAAAUAAUAUAUAAAUUAUAUCUCAAUGAACCUGUGAAAAAUUAAAAAAUAUGUGGUAUGCAUACACAAAAUUUCUUCAUUUUAUUUUAUUUCCAUAGGUUUUUAGGGAACAGGUGGUGUUUGAUUAUAAGAGUAAGUCCUUUAGAGGUGAUUAGUGAGAUUUUGAUGCACCCAACACCUGUGCAGUAUACACUAUCCAAUUUGUAGUCUUUUAUUCCUCACGCCCCAUACCCUUUCUCCCAAGUCCCCAAAGUCCAUUAUAGUAGUCUAAUGCCUUUGCAUCCUCAUAGCUUAGUUCCCGCAUACGAGCGAGGGCAUACGAUGUUUGGUUUUCCAUUCUGACGUUACUUCACUUAGAAUAAUAGUCUCUGAUUCCAUCCAGGUUGCUGUGAAUCCCAUUAUUUUUUUCGUUUUAUGGCUGACUAGUAUUCCCAUAUAUUUAUGUAUUUAUUUAUUUAUAUCACAAUUUCUUAAUCUACUUAUUGAUGGGCAUGUGGGCUCAUUACAUGUUUUUGCAAUUGUGAAUUGUGCUGAUAUAAAAUAAGACAUGGACAGGAUGCUGAGGAGGGCAUCAACAAAUUUCUACAUACAAGUAUUUUAUUUUAUUUUAAAACUUUAUUUUAUUUUAUUUUUUAUUAUUAUCAUACUUUAAGUUUUAGGGUACAUGUGCACAAUGUGCAGGUUAGUUACAUAUGUAUACAUGUGCCAUGCUGGUGUGCUGCACCCAUUAACUUGUCAUUUAGCAUUAGGUAUAUCUCCUAAUGCUAUCCCUCCCCACUCCCCCCACCCCACGACAGUCCCCAGAGUGUGAUGUUCCCCUUCCUGUGUCCACGUGUUCUCAUUGUUCAAUUCCCAUCUAUGAGUGAGAACAUGCAGUGUUUGGUUUUUUGUCCUUGCGAUAGUUUACCGAGAAUGAUGAUUUCCAAUUUCAUCCAUGUCCCUACAAAGGACAUGAACUCAUCAUUUUGUAUGGCUGCAUAGUAUUCCAUGGUGUAUAUGUGCCACAUUUUCUUAAUCCAGUCUAUCAUUGUUGGACAUUUGGGUUGAUUCCAAGUCUUUGCUAUUGUGAAUAGUGCUGCAAUAAACAUACGUGUGCAUGUGUCUUUAUAGCAGCAUGAUUUAUAGUCCUUUGGGUAAAUACCCAGUAAUGGGAUUGCUGGGUCAAACAGUAUUUCUAGUUCUAGAUCCCUGAGGAAUCGCCACACUGACUUCCACAAUGGUCGAACUAGUUUACAGUCCCACCAACAGUGUAAAAGUGUUCCUAUUUCUCCACAUCCUCUCCAGCACCUGUUGUUUCCUGACUUUUUAAUGAUUGCCAUUCUAACUGGUGUGAGAUGGUAUCUCAUUGUGGUUUUGAUUUGCAUUUCUCUGAUGGCCAGUGAUGAUGAGCAUUUUUUCAUGUGUCUUUUGGUUGCAUAAAUGUCCUCUUUUGAGAAGUGUCUGUUCAUAUCCUUUGCCCACUUUUUGAUGGGGUUGUUUGUUUUUUUCUCGUAAGUUUGUUUGAGUUCAUUGUAGAUUGUGGAUAUUAGCCCUUUGUCAGAUGAGUAGGUUGGGAAAACUUUCUCCCAUUUUGUAGGUUGCCUGUUCACUCUGAUGGUAGUUUCUUUUGCUGUGCAGAAGCUCUUUAGUUUAAUUAGAUCCCAUUUGUCAAUUUUGGCUUUUGUUGCCAUUGCUUUUGGUGUUUUAGACAUGAAGUCGUUGCCCAUGCCUAUAGUAUUUUAUAGCAUUGCUUUGAAAUAUUUGAUUCUCAUAUUUAUUUUAAUGGAUGCAAAAUUGUUGAGCAGAGCAGUGUUCAAAAAUAGCUACUAUAAAAAAUAAUUUUUGUCUUACAUUCCAAGUUUUUCCUUUCUCAUGUAAUGAUAAACAAGACAGAGACCUUCAUCAAAUUUUGUACUUUUUAUCUCUACCGACUUCUGAUAAUAUGUAUUUUAUUUAUUUACUUUAUCAUAUUUUUUCUUCAAGGUAGGUUGAGCUGAUGACACACACAAAGACAUACACUCAUACUCAUAUGCACACACAUCCCAAACACUGAAAAGAGAUCUAAUUAACCUAUUGCCCAAAUAUUUUCAAAUCUAAAAUAAGUGUAUGAUUUUGUUUUGUAUAAAAUAUAGUCAGUUCAUUCACGGUCUUUAUUAUUUUGGUGUGAGUUACAGCUUGGAAGUAUGUUUGGCUUAUAUAAUCAUAUAUAUAAUCUUGACAAGGUAAAGCCAGAACUGGCAUAAUUCACUGAAAUGAAAGUGCUAAUGGUUUGUAUGAACACAUCACAACUGGGAAUAAAAAGGUUAUUCACUUUUCAUGGCAAACCUUGUCUUUAUGGUUCAUGGUCUAAGGCUUUGUUUUUUAGACACUUUGAUAUUUCUUCAAUACUAUUUGGAAAAACCUUUAUUAUUGAUAAAGUAUUGAGAAUCAGCCUGCUUGUUUCAUAUAAUUGAGUAGAUAUAUUCUAGAGAGUUAAAUCAUAUAUUUUAGAUUUAGAUUUAACUUUUAUGUUUUAGAUCUUAAACUCAACCAUACAUAUUAUUAAUUUCCAUAUUUCAAGUAAUAUCACUGCUGAUUCUCUGCCCCAGAUGGAUGGUUCUUUCUUCUAUUUUUGGUAUUAUCCAGGCCCUUUCUCUAUAAUCUCUUUUCACAAUAAUUAUAAAAUUUGACCCUUUGUCCUUCAUUGUCACUGAAAAUAGAGAAUUUUAAAUGGAAAUAGAGACUUACUAUGAUAGCUUUCUAAAUAUAAUGCGUUGAUUAGUGGUAGUGGUAAAGUCUGGAAAGGCCUCUGGAUUUGGACUGAGCCAUGCUAACAACUUUCUUAGUUCUCCAGCUUGCACAUGGCCUAUUAUGAGACUUCUUAGCCUCUGAAAUCAGAUAAGCCAAUUCUCCUAAUAAAUGUCUUCUCUUCACUUCUUCUCUCGCUCUCUGUCUAUACACACACACACACACACACACACACACACACACACCUUCUAUCAGUUCUGUUUCUCUGGAGAACCCUGCCUAAAUCAGAGUUCUUAACAGUUUUAUUUCCUCUGGAGAAUAAUAUAUGUACAUCUUAUAUGUGUAAUUUAAAUGACUACACAUGCUACUUUUAAUGUUAUAUUUAUCAAAAAGCAUGUAAAGUCUAAGAUUAUAUGGGCCAGCAUUUAAUGUUUUCCAAAAGGGAAUUUUGAAUAAAGUGAAAUUGAUUUUUUAAGAAUAAGCUGAAAAAUUAAGGACACUUACAAAACUCUAAAAACACAAUUAAAAUGCUACAUUUUGAUUAGCAAUGAUUUUCUAAAAAUUUAAAUGAUAUCUUAUUUGUAUCUUUUUCUGUAUUGAAUUCGUACACUGAGUAAAGUAGACUUCCCCAAUGAUGUGGGUGGGUCCCAUCAAUCAGUGGAAGUCUUGAAUAGAAUAAAAGGGCUGACUUUCCUAGGAGUAAGAAGGAACUUCCUCCUACCUGAAAGCAUUGAGAUGGGACAUUGGUUUCUUCCCACCUUUGGACUCAAACUGAAACUUUGGCUUUCAUUGAGUGUCAAACCUGCCUGCCAGCUUUCACACUGGAGCUAUGCCACCGUCUCUCCUGAGUCUCCAGAUUGCUGACUGCAGAUCUUGGGUCGUCUUUUCCCCCAUAAUCAUGCUAAACAAUGCCUUAUUUCAUCUCCCUGUCUCUUUCUCCUAUUGGUUCUGUUUCUCUGGAAAACACUGACUAAUAUGAUCACCAUAACUGAACUCCAGAUUAAAAUUAUGAGAGAAGUAUGUAAAAUGUAUUUACUUUUAGUAAAACAGUAACAUUUCUACUUAAAUUUUUUUUUUGGAAGAAAGUAGCUAAGUCUUGUUUUCCUGUAAAAGAAUGUAAAUAGACAUUUUGACUCAUUGCUGGUUUUUUCUUGUCUCAACCUUAUUACUUAGAAAAUAUUGUAUUUGUUUUACUUCUGAAAACAUAAAUGUCUUGUUUUACUUCUGAAAACAAAUGGACAAAUAAUGUUCUACCUUCUCUUACUAGCAAAUACAAUUAUUUUUAUUUUUUUCCAAAAGAAACUUAAGUAAAUUCAAUCAAGGGAUGUACUUCAGAGCAUAUUUUUGGUUAAUGCUAAUUUGUAAUUUUAUGUUUGCCUUUUUAUAUAGGGCUAUUUAGAUGCCUAUAUUAUUCUGUUUUUACAUAUAUUUAUUGCACAUUUUUAAUUUAAAAUUUUUCCUGACUACAACUGCAUGUUAUAAACUCCUUGGUACAUAACAUUUUUGCAAACAAUAUUACUUCUUAGAGAAAAGCUAAAAAUGAAAUUAUUAGGUCAAAAAUAUUUUACUGAUUUCAUAUGUGAAGGCUCCAUUUUGAUAUAUUGGGAAAUAAAGUAUAUUGUUAAAGCUUUCUUUUUUGGUAUAUUCCUAUAUUAGACUUUUUAAAUUACAGAGUUAAUUACCAUAGAAUUAUAAUAUGCUUUGAUAUUUAAUAUUUGGAUUUGUUUCUAUUACUUCUGGACAAAUUACCAAAAAUGUAGUAUACUAUUUUAGUACAUUAUACCAGUAUAUUAGUAUUAGUAAAUCAUUACAAUUAAUAUAGUAUUAUUUUCUGUUCCUUUAUUGUCCUGCCUCAGUGCCUCAUAAGAACUUUGAGCCCAGAAUUAUUAUCUCAGGAUUCUUUGGCAAACUACUGUAAUCAGCAGAUUAACGUAGUUUCUAAUGGUCUCCAUCUCCUGGGAUUCCAACCCUUGUCUAAUACCCUCCCCAUGGGUGUCAGCUGGAUCCAUAGACUUGCUGCUGUUGCAUAGAAUACAGCAAACAUGAUGAGAGGUUGAUUCUGUGAUUAGUUGACAAAAGAUGUGACUUCUGUCUUGGACUCUUUUCAAUGGCUUUUUUUUUGGCUUCGCACAUUUUGAUGAAGAAACCUUCCCAUACUGAAGAGGCUCACAUUAUAUGGAAUUCUGGACAACAGCUAUCAAAGUACUGAAUACACCAUCAAGCAUUGAGUGAGAUUGAUUAUAACUUGUGAGAGUCUCUGAAUAGAAGACCCAGUUAAGCCAUGCCCAGAUUCCUGCACCACAGAAACUUCGAGAUAAUAAAGGUUUUUUGGGUUUUUUUGUGGUGAAGAAUAUGUUUCUCAUCUUUUUUUAAAAUUUUAUUAUUAUACUUUAUUUUGGGAUAAUUUGUUAUGGAGGAAUUGACAAAUAAUAUAAAUACUUUUGAAAUGUAACUUUUUUAUCUUAAUAAACAUUUAACAAAUCAUUUGAAGAUG